GACGGACGCUGGCGGCGUGCCUAAUACAUGCAAGUAGAACGCACAGUUUAUACCGUAGCUUGCUACACCAUAGACUGUGAGUUGCGAAUGGGUGAGUAACGCGUAGGUAACCUGCCUGGUAGCGGGGGAUAACUAUUGGAAACGAUAGCUAAUACCGCAUAAUAUUGAUUAUUGCAUGAUAAUUGAUUGAAAGAUGCUAUUGCAUCACUACCAGAUGGGCCUGCGUUGUAUUAGCUAGUAGGUGAGGUAACGGCUCACCUAGGCGACGAUACAUAGCCGACCUGGGAGGGUGAUCGGCCACACUGGGACUGAGACACGGCCCAGACUCCUACGGGAGGCAGCAGUAGGGAAUCUUCGGCAAUGGACGAAAGUCUGACCGAGCAACGCCGCGUGAGUGAAGAAGGUUUUCGGAUCGUAAAGCUCUGUUGUAAGAGAAGAACGGGUGUGAGAGUGGAAAGUUCACACUGUGACGGUAUCUUACCAGAAAGGGACGGCUAACUACGUG
Molecule: ribosomal RNA, 505 nt
Filed under: uncultured bacterium
Lineage: Bacteria
Description: partial 16S ribosomal RNA
Rfam family: Bacterial small subunit ribosomal RNA
Source: RNAcentral